Molecule: ribosomal RNA, 453 nt
Filed under: uncultured bacterium
Lineage: Bacteria
Description: bacterial SSU rRNA
Rfam family: Bacterial small subunit ribosomal RNA
Source: RNAcentral
GACGAACGCUGGCGGCGUGCUUAACACAUGCAAGUCGAGCGGUAAGGCCCUUUCGGGGGUACACGAGCGGCGAACGGGUGAGUAACACGUGGGUGACCUGCCCUCAGCUCUGGGAUAAGCCUGGGAAACCGGGUCUAAUACUGGAUAUGACUCCAUGACGCAUGUUGUGGGGUGGAAAGCCUUGUGCGGCUGAGGAUGGGCCCGCGGCCUAUCAGCUUGUUGGUGGGGUGANGGCCUACCAAGGCGACGACGGGUAGCCGGCCUGAGAGGGCGACCGGCCACACUGGGACUGAGACACGGCCCAGACUCCUACGGGAGGCAGCAGUAACGAAUCUUCCGCAAUGGGCGAAAGCCUGACGGAGCAAUGCCGCGUGCGGGAUGAAGCGCCUUUGGCGUGUAAACCGCUGUCAGGGGACGGAAACAAUGAUUGUCCCCAGAGGAAGAGCCGGCUAA